GGCAGGCCUAACACAUGCAAGUCGAGCGGAUGAGAAGAGCUUGCUCUUCGAUUCAGCGGCGGACGGGUGAGUAAUGCCUAGGAAUCUGCCUGGUAGUGGGGGACAACGUUUCGAAAGGAACGCUAAUACCGCAUACGUCCUACGGGAGAAAGCAGGGGACCUUCGGGCCUUGCGCUAUCAGAUGAGCCUAGGUCGGACUAGCUAGUUGGUGAGGUAAUGGCUCACCAAGGCGACGAUCCGUAACUGGUCUGAGAGGAUGAUCAGCCACACUGGAACUGAGACACGGUCCAGACUCCUACGGGAGGCAGCAGUGGGGAAUAUUGGACAAUGGGCGAAAGCCUGAUCCAGCCAUGCCGCGUGUGUGAAGAAGGUCUUCGGAUUGUAAAGCACUUUAAGUUGGGAGGAAGGGCAUUAACCUAAUACGUUAGUGUUUUGACGUUACCGACAGAAUAAGCACCGGCUAACUCUGUGCCAGCAGCCGCGGUAAUACAGAGGGUGCAAGCGUUAAUCGGAAUUACUGGGCGUAAAGCGCGCGUAGGUGGUUUGUUAAGUUGGAUGUGAAAGCCCCGGGCUCAACCUGGGAACUGCAUCCAAAACUGGCAAGCUAGAGUACGGUAGAGGGUGGUGGAAUUUCCUGUGUAGCGGUGAAAUGCGUAGAUAUAGGAAGGAACACCAGUGGCGAAGGCGACCACCUGGACUGAUACUGACACUGAGGUGC
This 718-nucleotide ribosomal RNA is filed under the name uncultured Pseudomonadales bacterium. Its description in RNAcentral is "bacterial SSU rRNA". It matches the Rfam family "Bacterial small subunit ribosomal RNA", at positions 41 to 754 of the family's 1533-position model. Lineage: Bacteria; Pseudomonadati; Pseudomonadota; Gammaproteobacteria; Pseudomonadales. The record is from RNAcentral.